Molecule: ribosomal RNA, 504 nt
Filed under: fungal endophyte
Lineage: Eukaryota; Fungi
Description: eukaryotic LSU rRNA
Rfam family: 5.8S ribosomal RNA (bases 179-332)
Source: RNAcentral
UUGCUGGAACGCGCUUCGGCGCACCCAGAAACCCUUUGUGAACUUAUACCUAUCUGUUGCCUCGGCGCAGGCCGGCCUCUUCGCUGAGGCCCCCUGGAAACAGGGAGUAGCCCGCCGGCGGCCAACUAAACUCUUGUUUCUAUAGUGAAUCUCUGAGUAAAAAACAUAAAUGAAUCAAAACUUUCAACAACGGAUCUCUUGGUUCUGGCAUCGAUGAAGAACGCAGCGAAAUGCGAUAAGUAAUGUGAAUUGCAGAAUUCAGUGAAUCAUCGAAUCUUUGAACGCACAUUGCGCCCUCUGGUAUUCCGGAGGGCAUGCCUGUUCGAGCGUCAUUUCAACCCUCAAGCCUGGCUUGGUGAUGGGGCACUACUUUCUCACGGGAGUAGGCCCUGAAAUUCAGUGGCGAGCUCGCCAGGACCCCGAGCGUAGUAGUUAUAUCUCGCUUUGGAAGGCCCUGGCGGUGCCCUGCCGUUAAACCCCCAACUUCUGAAAAUUUGACCUCGG